This is a long non-coding RNA of Lycium barbarum (goji berry), 16820 nucleotides long. RefSeq lists it as uncharacterized. NCBI's taxonomy places the organism in Eukaryota, Viridiplantae, Streptophyta, Magnoliopsida, Solanales, Solanaceae. The transcript has 2 exons. The record is from RefSeq and is a predicted model, not a curated record.
UUUCUCUCUCUGUCCAAUUCUUUCUCCCCUCUCCUCCCCUAUUUUCUUUGUUUGUUUCUUCUCUCAAACCUGAAUCUUUACGAUGAACAUAGAAUCCUAUGGCCAAUAUUCCAAAUCUUCUUUAGAAAUUCAAUUAUAUGACCUCUUUGUAGAAGGGAAACCCAUCAAAAUAUCAAAAAUACCAACAAACCAAAAAUGAGUCAAUUAAAAGGUCCUCAAAAAUCACCACACCUCAAAAUUAACCCAUAAAGGAUUUUGAAAUAGAAAUCAUGCGUCUUUUACCCAUUAAUACUUCCAAAAGAUUUGAGUUUUUUGAGAAAAUUUAGCCUCAAAUUUUAAAAAUCAAACAAGACAAACUUUUUUCCAAAUCAGUAAAAAAAAAAAAAGUGAUUAUUCUCCCACUUUUUUAUCGGGACAAAAAUGGACCACCAAACUUCUUCUCCACCACCUAACGCCUUCAGCCAUGGAAAUGGACCAUCAAACUUCUUCUCCAACGUUUCGAUCUGGACAAAAAAAUUAAUUUUUUGUCUCAAUUUGGUUUCUUUAUUCCUUUUAAUUUUAUUUCUAUAAUAUAUAAAGAGGAAGAAUUGGAAGAGAAGAGGAGGAAGAACAUGAAGAGAGAGAAACAGAUGGGAAGAAGGAAGAAUGUGAGGGGAGAGAGAGAAAUCAAUGGGGAGGGGAUUAGGGGAUUAAUGGUUGAAGUUUUUUUUUAUUUUUUGUUAUUUGAUUUUUAUUAUUUUUUUAUUUUCUAUGUGACAUGACAUCUACACAUUGUUACUUUUUGACGUGACAGUCAACGUGGAGGCGUUUAAACAAUAUGCACCAUGAGCAGAUCGAAAAAGGGUUUAAAAUGCUCAAUUUUGAUGGGUAAAAGGUGUUAUAGCCCGUAUUUUGUACGUUUGGAUAUUUCAAAGUCGUCGUGGAAAGUUAAGGGCGAAACCAAUUUCAAAAAUUAUAUUAAUGCACAAGUUGUUAUGAAUAUUAUUUAUGACUAUUAUUAGCAUGAAAAUAUUGCGAGAGGCUAAGGGCAAGAAGAGAAAUUCGCAAAAUGGGUCAUGGAAAUAAUGUGGAAGGCUAGGGGCAAAAUGGUAAUAUUGAGGAAAGUCGAAGGGCAAAACGGAAAUUUCACACAAGUUCAUGAAAAUUCCAAAAGGGGCCAUAUUGGCCAUGUGAAUAAUAAAGGGGGAAAAAAUGAAAAAGGAUGACAAAAUAAGUCAUCUUCUAAUUUUAAAAAAAAUUCAAGAAAAAGGGGGGAAAAUUCUAGAGAAAUUGAGAGAGGGGCAUGUGCCCCUCACAUGCUUGAGCAAUUAUAUAUAUAUGCUCAUCCUUUAAUUCAAGACAAAGAAAACCAAGAACAAAAAAAAAAAAAAAAAAAAAAAAAAGAGAAUGGGAAAAAAAAGAGAGCAUUCGGCCACCAUGGCCAAAAAUUGGCCAUGGAAAAUUGAUUAAGAAAAAUUAUUUUCUUCUUGCAUUUCAAGUAAUUGGAAGGUUCUCUACGACGUGGUAUAAGCGUUGGAGCGAACAAAACGUUCUUUUGGAAGUGAGGUUAAUAGAGAGAAGGAAUUUUUUGUUAAGGGUGGUUGCCCCUCUCUGUUGUGCCAGUGAUUUUCUUUUCAGUAACUAAACCAACAGCCCUUGAUCAUGAAGUACACAAACAAAUUGAAACAUAUGCUCAGCCGUAGAUCUCAGUGUGUGUGUUGCUUUUUCCCCCUUUUGGAGUAAUUGUGCAAAAAAGGAUGUGAUGAUGGUAAUGUUUUACUCUCUGGGCUAACAAAAUCGGGCAUUGAGGACAGUCCGACCCGUAUCUCUUCCUGGCAAAUCCCAGGAUGGCAUGCAACUGAGGCUCUCUCUUUUGCAUGCAACCGGUGAUUUUGCAGUCAUGGCGUGGUUGCCUUCCCUUUGUCCAAGCAAAAACGCAGUAUCUGAGCCUCAAAUUUUUGUGCUUUAAAGGGUCGUUUGGUUGUUGGUUAGGAUGCGAGUUAUUCGUGUUAGGAUGAUUAUUUCCCCCUUUGGAGUAUUUGUGCAAAAGAGCUUUCAUGAUGGCAAUAUUUUACUUUCUGGGCUAACAAAAUUGGACAUUGAGGACAGUCCGACCCAUAUCUUGGCUUGGCAAUCCCAGGAUGGUGUGCAACUGAGGCUCUCUAUUUUGCAUGCCCAAGUUUACCCUUUACUGAAAUGGAUUUAUUACUAUGGCACGAAGAAUAAACUCUAAUUGUAAAUGCCGAACCAGAACUGGAAGUAGCAACGAAAGAGAUAAAAGGAAUACCAUUGCGCAGAGAAAUUCUCGUCAUCUUCAAUGAAUUGGUGGAAAUUUUUCAGCGGAUGUAAGAGAGAGAAAGAGAGAAUUCUGAGGCUGCAAUUGAUACUUGGCAAGAGAAAUUAAGAGACCCGUAUCUUGGCGGGGCGACCCGGAAUGCAACCCGCGGUUUGCAGCCAUGGCGAUGUCUUUAUUCUCUUGUUUAUUCAACAGAUAGGAGCUUCAAUUUUACUCUUGUAGCUCUUGUUUGGAUGGUUGUUACCUAUUGUAUUGUAUUUUUAUGCUAAAAGGGUGUGUUUGGUAUGAAGGAAAUUGUUUCUUUUAUGAUGAAUUUCAUCAGUGUUUGGUUACUAAUGUAGCCCUCUGAGAAGAAUAAUGUUGGGAAAUUUUCUGGUGAAAACUAAGAGCCCGUUUGGAUUAGCUUAUAAGUUGCUGAAAACAGAAGUUAGCCCAGAAUAGAAAUGAGGUUAACAGAGAGGAGGGAUUUUCUUCCAAGGGUGGUUGCCCCUCUCUACAACUCCAAUGAUUUCUCACAUAAAAAAAGGAAAAAAAUAAAUAAAAAUCAAACAACCCUUGAAAGGAUUGACUCAAAAUGGUCCUUUAAGUUAUCAAAAAAAAAAAUAUAUGUGUAUCAAAAAAUGGUCCUUUAAGUUAUGUAGUUGAGCUAAGUUCAUCUCACAAAGAAGAGAUUGAGAGAAUUCUGAUGUUGCCGUUGAUACUUGGCAAGAGAAUAUUAGAGAUCCGUAUCUUGGCGGGGCGACCCGGAACUCAACCCGAGGUUUGCAGCCAUGGCGAUGUCUUUAUUUUCUUGUUUUAUAAACAGAUCUGAGCUUUAAUUUUAGUCUUGUAGCUCUUGUUUGAAUGGUUGUUACCUAUUGUAUUGCGUUAUUAUGCUAAAAGGGUGUGUUUGGUAUGAAGGAAAAUGUUUUUUGUUUUGUCAUAAAAAAAAAAUGUUUUUGUUUGAAGAAAGUUGGGAAAUUUUUAGGCGAGGGCCAAGAAUUUUCUUUAAAAAAAAUUCUGGCCAGAGAGAGAAAUGAGGUUAACAGAAAAGGGAUGUUCUGUUAAGGGUGGUUGCCCCUCUCUGUUGUGCCAAUGAUUUUCUUUUUAGCAACUAAACCAACAGCCCUUUGUUCAUGAAAAAUAUGCAUGCAUUUUCUUCAAUCUACAGCUUCAGCUGUAUAUCUCAGUGUGUGUGCUUCUGUUUCCUCCUUUUGGAGUAAUUGAGCAAAAGAGGCUGUGAUGAAGAUAAUGUUUUACUGUCUGGGCUAACAAGGGCAUUGAGGACAGUCCGACCCGUAUCUUGGCUUGGCAAAUCCCAGGAUGGCCUGCAUCUGAGGCUCUCUUUGGCAUGCAACUGGUGAUUUUGCAGCCAUGGCGUGGUUGCCAUCUCUUUGUCCGAGCAAAAAUGCAGUAUCUGAGCCUCAAAUUUUUGUGCUUUAAAGGGUCGUUUGGUUGCUGGUUACGAAGCGAGUUAUUCGUGUUAGGAGGAUUAUUUCCCCCUUUGGAGUAAUUGUGCAAAAGAGCUGUCGUGAUGACAAUGUUUUACUUUCUGGGCUAACAAAAUUGGGCAUUGAGGACAGUCCGACCCGUAUCUUGGCUUGGCAAAUCCCAGGAUAGCGUGCAACUGACGCUCUCUCUUUUGCAUGCAACUGGUGAUUUUGCAGCCAUGGCGAGGUUGCCUUCCCUUUGUCCAAGCAAAAAAGCAGUAUCUGGGCCUCAAAUUUCUGAAAAUCGAACCGGGGACCUCUUGUGCUUUGAAAUACAUUAAAGUUUGCUCCAAUUAGAAUGAUAUACAGUCAGACCUCUCUAUAACAUCCAUUCGCUAUAAUAACAUUUCACUAUAACAACCAAGUCUCUGGAUUGUUCUCUAUAAUAGCAUUUCGCUAUAACAGCCAAGAAAUGUCUACACAAACGAUGCCAUUAUAAAAAAGUUCUACUGGAUCACAGAAAGAUGGGUACUUUAUCUGCUUCUUAGAUAUAAGCCUAUGAUUUCGGAGACAAUUUAACCGAAGAGACCCAGUAAGUCUGCAUUUAAGCCAAAAGCACUUUGCUUUCUCAGUGAAUGUUGUUGAUAGAUAGAUAUAUAAAUAGAGAAUAUGAGGCUAUGAUGAUAGUUUCUUCCCUUUUUUUGAGCAACUCAAUAGGGCAAGAAAAUAGAGAGACCGUAUCUUGGCGGGGCAACCCAGAUGGCUAGUUAUUUUGUGUCAUGCAACCGGUGUUUGCAGCCAUGGCGUUGCCUUCAUUCUCGUCUUAUCAACAGAUCUGAGCCUCAAAAAUACUCUUAUGGCGUCUUUGGUAUGAUGGAAAACAUUUUUCUUGAUGAAAUCAGCACUUGGACCAACGUAUCCUUAUGAGGAGAAAAGUUGUGAAAUUUUCAGGUGAGAGCCAAUAAUUCCUAAAAAAAAUAAAAGUCAGCCAGAAAGAGAAAUGAGGUUAAUGGAGAGACGGGAUUUUCUUCUAAGGGUGGUUGCCCCUCUCUGUUGCGCCAAUGAUUUUCUUUAGCAUACUAAACCAACAACCCUUGUUCAUGAAAUACUCAGAAGCAGAAGAUGAUCCAUAUAGCUCAGUAAGUGUAUUCUUGGGGGAUUUGCACUAAUGACCUUUUUUGUGGUAGUGAUGAUAAUGAUAUCACAUUCUGGGUUGACAAAUGGGGCAUUGAAGACAAUCCGACCCAUAUCUUGGCCUGGCAAAUCCAAGGAUGGCGUGCAACUGAGGUUCUCUCUUUUGCAUGCAACCUGUGAUUUUGCAGCCAUGGCGUGGUUGCAUUCUCUUUAAGUGGUCGUUUGGUUGCUGGUUAGGGGAGGAGUUAUUCAUGUUAGGAGGGUUUUUUCUAAGGGUGGUUGCGCCUCUCUGCAACUCCAGUGAUUUCUCUAUAUGAAAAAAAAAAAAUGAAAAAACUCAACCAACCCUUUAAAUCUGAGGGAAAAAUCAUUCACACCCUGUUGAGAUUUUUGACUCAAAUGAUCCUUUAUGUUAUGGAGUUGAUCUAAUUUCUUCUCACAAAGAAGAGAGAGAGAAUUCGGAGGCUGUGAUGAUACUUUCUUAUUUUCUUUGGGGCAAGAGAAAUUAAGAGACCCGUAUCUUGGCGGGGUGACCCGGAAAGCAACCCGAGGUUUGCAGCCACGGCGAUGUCUUCAUUCUCUUGUUUUAUCAACAAAUCUGAGCUUCAGAUUUAGUCUUGUAGCUCUUGUUUGGAUGGUUGUUACCUAAUGUAUUGUUACGCUAAAAGGGUGUGUUUGGUAUGAAGGAAAAUGUUUUUUUAUGAUGAAUUUCAUCAAAGUUUGGAUACUAAUGUAGCCCUCUUAGAAGAAGAAAGUUGGGAAAUUUUCUGGUAAAAACUAAGAAUUUUCCUAACCACCAACCCCCCCCCCCCCCCCCCCCCCCCGCCGCAAAAUACCCGUUUGGGUGGUUCAUUAUUGUAUUGUUUUCAUUGAAGGAAGGAAAAAUCAAACAGCCAUGGCGAUGUCUUAUCAACAGAUCUGAGCCUCAAACUCUUAUGGCACCUUUGGUAUGAUGGAAAACACUUUUCCUGAUGAAAUCAGCACUUGGACCAAUGUAUACCUAUGAGAAGAGAAAAGUUGUGAAAAUUUUCAGGUGAGAGCCAAUAAUUCCUAAAAACAAAAGUCAGCCAGAAAGAGAAAUGAUGUUAAUAGAGAAACGGGAUUUUCUUCUAAGGGUGGUUGCCCCUCUCUGUUGUGCCAAUGAUUUUCUUUAGCAAUACUAAACCAACAGCCCUUGUUGAAAUACUCAGAACAACAGCUAUGAGCAUUGGAACAUAUGCUUCUUCAGUCUGCGGCUUCAGCAUAUAUGUGUGUGUAUUUCUGUUUUCCUCCUUUUGAGUAAUUGUACAAUAGAGGCAGUGAUGAUAAUAAUCUUCCACUUACUGGGCUAACAAAAUCGGGCAUUGAGGACCAUCCGACUGUAUCUUGGCCUGGCAAAUCCCGGGAUGGCCUGCAUUUGAGCCUCUCUCUUAGUCUCUUUUGCAUGCCACCAGUGAUUUUGCAGCCAUGGCGUGGUUGUGUGCUCUUUGUUCGGGCAGAAUUCAGUAUCUGAGCCUCUAAUUUCUAUGAAUCGAACUUGGGACCUGUUGUGCUUUGAAUAAUAUUAACAUUUGCUCCAAAUGUUAGUUCUACAGAUCAAAAGAAUGAGGUGUCACAUAAAGAUGGGUACUUUUUCUUCUCAGGAAUUUCAAUCCGAAAGCACUUUGUUGUCUCCAUUAAUACUCACUGGAUUGGGAAUUUGAACUGAAACGUCAAUCGAACACGCAACACAACUUUCUGAUCUGGAGUCAAACGUGCUACUAUUACGCCAUGAAUCCUUAUGGUGUCUUUAUAGGAUUGAAAGUAUUUUUUCUGGAUGAAAUCAGUAUUUAGUUAGCAAUGUGUCCUGCUGUGGAUAACCGAGUGAAGGGAUUUUCUUCUAAGGGUGGUUGUUCCUCUCGGUUGUGCCAAUGAUUUUCUUUAGCUACUAAACCAACAACCCUUGUUCAUGAAAUAUUCAGAACCAGAAGCUAUGAAGCCAUAUAUCUUAGUGUGUGCGUGUGUGUAUUUUUUUCCUUCUUUCAAGUUUAUCUUUUUCAUGAUGAAAUCAGUAUUUGGUUACGGAUGUAUCCCUCUAAGAAGAGAAAAGUUGGGAAUUUUCAGGUGAGAACCAAGAACUUUCCAGAAUGAAGAAGUCAGCCCAGAAAGAGAACUGAGGCUAACAGAGGGAGGGAAUUUUCUUCUAAAGGUGGUCACCCCUCUCUGUUUGGCCCAAUGAUUUCUUUAGCAACUAAACCAACAGCCCUUGUUCAUCAAAUACUCAGAAAGGUCACUCUGAUCAUGGAAAAACAAGCAUUAAUCUUCAUCUGUUUUUGGUCUGCAGCUUUAGCAUAAACUUGUGUCUGUGUGUGUGUCUUUUUGGCAUAUAUCUUUUUCCUCUUUUUGAGUAAUAGAGGCAGUGAUGAUGUUUCAAUUUCUGGGCGGACAAAAUUGGGUAUUGAGACAGUGCAACCCGUAUCUUGGCUUGGCAAAUCGACUGGUGAUAUUGCAGCCACAGCGUGUUUGCCUUCUCUUGGCCUGAUCAAAAUGCAGAUCUGAGCCUCAAAUUUCUGCGAAUCGAACCCGGCUCCUCAUGUUCUUUGAAAUCUAUUAAUGUUUGGUCCAAAUUUUAGCCCAAGCUUCAGACCAAAAGAAUGAGGUGUCAGAGAAGAUGGGUACUUUUUCUUCUCUGGUAAGCCCAUGAUUUCAAAACCAAAAGCACUUUUCUUUCUCAUUGACCGUGGUUGAUAGAUAUAUAGAUAGAAUUUUUUUCUGAUUCCAUGCAAACCCAAAUCAAUCUAUCGACUAUGCUCAAUCCCGGGACACAUGAUUGGAAAUGCCAUUGGAAGGAAUUGAACCUUCGACCUUGUGGUUAAUAGCGACAUGCUCUAACCAACUGAGCUACACCACGCAAGCCCAAAGUGGAUGAAAAAAAGAUAAAUAAAUAAAUGACGGGGCUAUGAUGAAAUUCUUCCUAGAAAAUGAAAUGAAGCAUUCAGAUAAUUUGAGCCGUAGCUUGGCAGGGCGACCUGUUAGCGUCUAUGGUAACAUGCUAAAGGCUUGCAGCCAUCAUGGUGCUGAAUCCGGCAUGCCAAUGAUUUCUUUGUUGCUCCAACCAACAGCUCCUUUUUGUAGGUUUUUGCUGUCUACAGUGGAUGGAAUUUCAACCCAGAAUAAAGAAUGAGGCCAACAGGGAGAAGGGAUUUCUUGGAGGGUGGUUGCCCUCUCUGCUUGGCCUAUGAUUUCUCCAUCUACCAAACCAACAACCCUCUUCAGAAAAAAACAGGCAAGUAUGUUUGGUGAUUCUGAUAGUCGAGAUGCUAUCUUUUUGAGUUUAAGCCUUGAGGCAAUGUUUUUGGUCCAAAACAUCCCCAGAUCUGAAGGUUGCGUUUGUUUGAUGAGAAUUUUUUAACAUGUCCAAAUGGCUCCUAGAACUAUGGAAAAGUUCCCAUUUCUCAGAGGUAAUGAUGAUACUGCUAAUCCCUGCUGAAGUUCGGGGCAUGGAGACAGUCUGACCCGUAUCUUGGCAGGGGAAACCUGGAUGGUUUGGGAUUGAGGCCUUCUCUUUCACGUGCAACCGGCUGCUUGCAGCCAUGGCGUGUUGUUGCCUACUCUUUGCCCCGUUUUACGCAGAUCUGAGCCUCAAUAUCCAACUAGUACAUCUGGAUUUUUUGGGUCUCGAACCCAGAAUCUCUCGUUUGGUGAAAAACAUUUGGGUUAUUCAAUUUUUCUUAAACACCUUCUUGCUGUUCUCCAUCAAACUUUUAGCUCAAACAAUUGAGGCAAUUGGAGAAAAAAAAAAAGGGAUCUUUUAGGGUGGUUGACCAUCUCCAACAUUCCUAUGAUUUCUAUUCUCUUUAAGUUCUCACAAACAGCUCUUUUUGUUUGUGUGUGUUUGUUAAUCAACCCCCAUACAUUAGGGACCAUAUUGAUUAUUUUUCUUUUGAUGUGGUGUACAAUUAUCGUACUAGUGUGGAGACCCAAAUCACCGCAUUGAGCGCAGAUUUUCGUCACAGAAACCCAAAGGGAAGGCACUAGCUGGGAAUCAAACUCGGAUCUGUACUGCGGCAGGGUACUAUCUACCAGUAGACCACUGGUACAAGGGACAGAUCAUUUUAUCUCUGUUUUCUGCUACUGUUAUACUCUGUUCCUCAGAGGCUGCAUUGGCAAAGCAACAGCAGAACUAUAUGACAAUGAAAUGGAAAAGAAAAUGAUGGGGCUGUGAGAUUGAUUGUUAUUGAGCGUAUGGAACCUGGCAUUGUAGUUUCAGACCUGUAUCUUGGCGGGGCAACCCGUAUUAUAGGGUCUGCAGCCAUGGCAGUGUCAAAGAACUCAUUGCCUGAGAUAAUUACCUAGCUGAGCCUCAAGUCUUUUGAAAUGGCUGAAUAUAUUGACGGCCCCUCAAACUUGCAGAAAGUUUUCAUCUAGAUGCACGUUGCCGAAGUUGUCCAAACAGGCUCUUAUGGAAAAGUUUCCAUUUUUCAGAAGAGGCAAUGAUGAUAUUGCUAAUCUUGGCUGAAAUUUGGGGCAUGGAGAAAAUCUGACCCAUAUCAUGGCAUGGAAAACCGGGAUGGUUUGUGAUUGGGGCUUCUCUUUUACAUGCAACCGGUUUCUUUUGCAGUCAUGUUGUUGUUGCCUUCUCUUUUCCCCAUUUUAGGCAGAUCUGAGCCUCAAUUUCCAAUUAGAGCCUGUUUGGAUGGGCUUAUGCCUAUAAGCUGCAAACAGCUUAUAAGCUAAAAAAAAAUAAGUUGGGGUAGUCUAACUUUUUUUUUUUGGCUUAUAAGCUCUUUUCAGCUUAUAAGCUGCUUUAGAUAAGCUAAGUCAAAUGGGCCCAAUUAUUUUUUUGAGCUUAUUUUAAGCACAAAAUGACUUUAAGCUGGCCAACCAAACACUCAAAAAAGCUGAAAACAGCUUAUAAGCAACUUAUAAGCCAAUCCAAACGGGCUCUUAGUCUUUAAAUAGGGGGCCCAAAACGGCUAUUUGUGUCGUCCCCCACUUUAUUUGCAUUGAGCAAAUUCAGCCGUAUCUUGGUGGGGCGACCUGGUAUGACAUCAUCUGUAAACCGGUGUCUGCAGCCAUGGCGUGUAUCACUUUCUCUUUGCAUAGAUCAAAGAACAGCAAAAUUUGAGCUCUAAAGUCACAGCACUCCCAUUUUAUGGUCUUGAAUUGGAUGGCCGUUCUCUGGAACCUGAAUCCCACUCGGGUUCUUCAGUUUUUCUUGAAUAACCCAGUUGAGGUGCUGUUCUCCAUCAAAUCUUAGCUAAAAAGUGAGACAAUAGGUGAAAAAUGGGAUUAUUCACCAUCUCCAGCAUGCCAAUGCGUCUCUUCAGCUCUAACUAACAGGCCUUUGUGUAUAUAUAUGUAUGUGUAUUAACUACACAAAAAAAAGUGGAGGUUCUGCCCAACAUGAAUACUGAGGCCAACAGAGAGACAAGGGAAUUCUUGGGAAUACGUCAACCAAAAGAACAACCCUCUUCAGAAGUACUAGUACUGCUUUCUGAUUUCUCUGAACUUAAACCCAACAUCAUGUUUGAAAUUGUCCAAACGGGCUCUGUAUGGUAAAAUUACCAUUUUUCUAGAGGCAGUGAUGAUAUUGCUAAUCUGGGAUGAUAUUCGGGGCAUGGGACAAUCUGACCAGUAGCUUGGCAGAGCAAACCCGGGUGGUUUGUGAUUGAGGCUUAUCCUUCACAUGCAACUGGCUCUUUUACAGCCAUGUCGUUGUCAGAUUCUCCUUACAACAGCAACAACAACAACAUACCCAGUGUAAUCCCAUAAGUGGGGUCUGGGAGGGUAGUGUGUAUGCAGACCUUACCCCUACCUCGCAAGGUAGAGAGGUGUUGGAUUCUCUUUGUCCCAUCUUUUUGCAGAUCUGAGGCUCCAUUUCCAACUAGUCUUUCUGGACUUUCAGGACUCGAACCUAGGAGUACCUUGUUGUAUGGAAACCCAUGUCAUUUUUGGACUAUGCAUGUUGUUGCUGCUGUUGCUGCAUCUUCUUCUGUUUCUUUUGUUCUUGAUGGUGAUGGUUGUGUUAUCAACCAAAUAGCAGAAAAUUAAUGCAAGAAGGGGAGAUUUUAUGGCUGUGAUGUUAUAAUGCUUUUUUUUAAUUAGCAAUUUGAAUUGGGUGUUGAGAUGAUAAGAACCGUAUCUUGGUAGGGUUACCAGGCGAGGUAGCAGCCAUGGCGGUUUCUGAUAAACUCAAUGCCUGAUUAAAAUUGAAAACUGAGCCUUGUCAUGUACAUGAUGUACAUGUAUAUUGUCUGUAUAUACAACACACACACAAGUAAACAAAGUGUGGUCUCUCUAACAGCUUAAUUAGAUGAGAUGAUCACACACUUCAACACACACAAAAAGAUACAUCAACAACAACAACAACAACAUACCCAAUGAAAUCACACAAAGUGGGGUCUGGGGAGGGUAGAGUGUACGCAGACCAUACCUCUACCUUGGGAGGUAGAGAGGCUGUUUCCAGCAGACCCUCGGCUUAAGGACAAAAUAGCAAGUUGAUCGACUCUGCGGGGAUCGAACCCAGAAUCUCUGUUUCCGUAGGCCAGCACCUUAUCCAUUUUGCCACAGAGUCUUUGAUACUACAUGUCCAAAAUGGUCCCUUAUCGAGGCAGUGAUGGUCUUUAAAUCUAUCCUCAUAGAAUAUCGACCCGUAUCUUGGCGAGGCAUUGACCUGGAUGCCUGUGAUUUGAUUACAUGCAACUGGGGGUAUUGCAGCCAUGGCGUGGCCGGACUUUCUUUGCCCGAGCAUAAAACAGAUCUGAGCCUCAAUUGUCACUUAUAUAUUACUCUAUUGUAUUUGGUAUGGAGGAAAAUGUUUCAGUGAGGAAGAAUGAGGCAGCAGAGAGAUGGGAAUUUCUGUGAAGGUCGGUUGCCCCUCUCUGCUAUGUCCUUAAUUUCUCCAUUUGUGAAACCAACAACCCUUUGAGAAAAACAAGAACAGGAAAAUGAUAACCAUCUCAACAACACCCCUUUGAGUAUUUACCUCUGUGAAAAAGCGGCUAUGCUCUUCCUUUCUUCUGCUUCUGCUUCUGCUGCUACCACUGCUAUCUAUGAUAAACAGCAGCCCUAAAAGUGGAUGCCUGGUGUCGUUUCUAUGUUGAUCUUCGCAGAUCACCUGAAAAUGGGCUGUGAUGAUGAUUGCUUCCUUUUGGGCUAUCUAAUUUACUGUUUUGAGAAAAUCUGACCCGUAUCUUGGCUGGGUGACCCGGUAUGGUAUCAUAUGCAAACCGGUGUCUGCAGCCAUGGCGUGUGUCGCUUUCUCUUUGCAUGUCCAUAGAUAGAAAAAUCUGAGCCCUAUAAACUCUCUUACAAAUCAGUGUGUUAACCUUCACAAAAAUGGAGGUUGAGCCCAAUAUGAGGAAAGAGGCCAACAGAGAAAAGAGAAUUCUUGGAAGGGUGGUUGCCCCCCUCUGCUUGGCCUAUGAUUUCUCCAUCAAUAAAACCAACAAUCCUAUUCAGAAGUACUACUAUUAGUCUAUUACUGUUUCUGAUUUCUCUGAGCUUAAACCAAAUAUUAUGGACAUCCUCAGCAGGUUAUCUGUGCGGUCUCUUCUUCGAUUCAAAUGUGUUUUCAAGGUUUUGGAAGACAUUAAGCUCUGAGCCUUACUUUAAGAUGAAGCAUCUCAAUCAUGCCUAGAGUAACCAAAUUCUCAAAAAGUCUUGUUAGCCAAUGGUACCUUUCUACGGACGAGUUCAACUGGUUGAAGAUGUGCAAAAGCGUGGUUGGCCUUCAAAUGGUAAACCACGGAGUUUCAAGCUUUCUGUAUAAACAAUUUCGUUCUGAAUAGUACAGAACCAAAAUGUUCGAAAAAGUUGGCAGCAGAGUAACACUUCACCAUCCAAACAUCUAUAUUUCGGCAUGGCUGAAUAAAGACCGGUAACUUGUAUAUUAAACAAAUUAUUCCAAGAUUUAUUGACACCAUAGUCUUUCAUUACUCAUAACUUAAAAGUCCUUUCCUUUACGUAAGUAGAAUAACCACAAAGCAUUCCUCCCAAUACUGAGACACCACUUUUGACGUAUGCCACGUUUAAAAUCAAGCACAAACCUUCUUGCAACAGUAUCUCUCGGUACACCUCAUUUGAAAUACUAAAUGAAACCACAAAAUUAUUCACUGACAAACCAAGCCAAUGAAAUGCUCCAUGUACAAAUGCCGAAGUGUUCAUAUUAUACUACACAUGGUAAAUGCCGGUAGGAUGUUUAUCAAUUUUUCUCCAGGAACCACUUUUCAGCACUAGAAUUUCACUGCGUGCUGUGUGAUCUCUCCAAAAUUACUUACUUGGGGAUUGGCUAAAUAUAUAGCGGGUUUAGCAAAAAUCCUCAGUUAAGCUUAGAAAGGAAGAAUGAGACAUCAGAGAGAUGGGAUUUUCUGUGAAGGGUGGUUGCCCCUCUCUGCUAUGUCCAUGAUUUCUCCAUUCACAAAACCAACAACCCUCUGGGAAAAGAAAAACAAGAAAGGGAAAAUGAUAAACCAUGAUACCACUGCUAACUAUGAUAAGUAGCAGCCCUGGUGUCAUUUCUGCGUUGAUCUUCGCAGAUCACCUGAAAAUGGGCUGUGAUGAUGAUUGCUUCUUUCUGGGCUAUCUAGUUUACUGCUUUGAGAAAAUCUUACCUGUAUCUUGGCUGGGCGACCCGGUAUGGCAUCGUCUGCAAACCGGUGUCUGCAGCCAUGGCGUGUCACGUUCUCUUUGCAAGAUCAUAUAUAGCAAAAUCUGAGCCCUAAAGAAGUCUUUUGCACAACAAUGAGAAUUUUCCCAGAAGGAAGAAUGAGGCCAACAGAGAGAAAAAUGAUUUCUUGGAGGGUGGUUGAUCUCUCUGGUUGGCCUAUAAUUUCUCCAUUAAAAGAAAUUACUUUUUCCUUCACUAAUGUACCCUUGAUCGGCCAUGGCAAGAGCAAAAGAACUUGGGAAUUGAGCAUUGUGCUAUAUAUAUUAGUGUCUUAGCAGAACCCUCACCAUAGUUUAACCCAGAAAGUAAGAAUGAGACAUCAGAGAGAACAUGGGAUUUCUGUAAAGGGUGGUUGCCCUCUGUCUGCUAUAUGUCCAUGAUUCUUUCUCCAUUCAUAAAAGAAAACCAACAGCUCUUUGAGAAAACAGUAAAAGAAACCAUAUAUGCAUUUGGGCAUAGAUUCCAAAUAUUUUUUGCUUCUGCUACUACUGCAGCUGAUUUUCGCAAAUAUCCACUUUUUAAGUAAGUUAUUGCGUGGAUUCCAAAGAUUUGAGGGACAAAAAUUAAAGACCACCACCAAAAUAGGGGCAUUUGUGCGAAUGACCCAUUUUUGAGAGUUUGGAACCUAAAUGACGUGAAAAAAAGGGCUCUGAUGAUGAAUUGCUUCUUUCUGGGCUAAUAAUCUACUUUACUCGCUGCUUUUGAGAAGAUCCGACCCGUAUCUUGGCGUGGCGACCCGGUACGACAUCCAUGUGCAAACCGGUGUCUUGCAGCCAUGGCGUGUGUUGGUUUCUCUUCGCAUGUUCAUUUACAGAAAAUCUGAGAGAAAAUGACAAAAAUGAUCCUUUAUCUUUGAGGGUAGGUUCAGAAUAGUCCCUUAAGUAUGCACUUAACAGUUUUGGUCCUUUAUGUUUUUCAAAAGUUUAACACUUUUAGUGUCCGUCAAAUCUUUAUCGAACUCUGUCGGUUAGAUUUGACGGAAACAGUGGGGAAAAAAAAGACUUAAACUAUAAAUUUCUUCAAACAUAAGGGACCAUUUUGUCAAAAUCUGACAUGUAUCUUGGCGGGUCGACCUGGUAUGGCAACAUUUGCAACCCGCUGUCUGCAGCCAUGGCGUGUGUCGCUUUCUCUUUGUAUGUUCGUACACAAGCAAAGUGUGAGCCCUAAAAAUUUGUUCGUCAGGGAAUUCAUUCUUUACUCAUCAGAUGGUUGAGCUUGGCUAUAUCUUGGCAUGGCAUCUUUUUGGAGUCUUGUGAGAUAUGGGAACUAUUAGGUUUCUGUGUCUCACAAAGGCUUCUUAAGCUUGCAGCCAUAGUUGGGUUUAGCUUAUGUCUGAGAAAAAGUUAAUCUUUGUGCCCAAGGAAUGAGGCUUUUUAUGGAACUCGAGAAAGGUUGAGAUUUUCUAAGGGUGGUUAUUCUCUUUCUCUGAAGUUCAAUUUAGCCGAUGAAUUUUCCAGUACUUUUGUUACCAAAAGAAAGAUUAACAACCCUUUCAUCAACUAAUGUCAAUUAUGCUCUUGAUGAUGAUGAUGAUGAUGAUGAUUCCGUGGCUUGGCUAUGGUAACCAUAAGGGAAAAUACAUAUUCAACCCCCCAAACUUUUUCAGGAAAUCCUGAUUCCUAAACCCUGAACUUUGUAAUGAGGCUGUGAUGACACUCUCUUGGAAGCUUGAAAAUCAGAUUUUUUAGCUGAUUAGCAUCUUGGCUAGGAGAAGGCAGCAGAAUUGGUGAGGUAGGUUUAUGUGCUUCUCCCAAUGGCGUCUGCUUUUUGCAGCCAUGGGUAGGCAAAUCUGAGCCUCCUUUCUGUGUGGAGCGACAUGGUUAGCAGGUGAGUUUGUUUUUUCUGCUCUUGUGCAAUUGUACAGAAGAGGCAGCAAUGAUGAUGUUUCACUUUCUGGACUAGAUGAAUCUGGACAUUGGACAAUUUGACCUGUAUCUUGGCCUGGCAAAUCAGUGGAUGGUUGGCAUUUGAGAUUCUCUCUUUUACCAUCAAGAUCAUAUUUGAGCCUCAAAUUUCUGGGAAUUGAACUUGGGUCCUCUUGUUCUUUGAAAUCCUUAAGAACUCAAGGAUAGAGUGGUACGAGCCAAUAGAACAGAUCCUGUUCAAUUAAGGUCGUCAUUAAGUUUAACAGAUCUUUUCUCCUGUUCUUGCUGCUGUUGGACUAUUUUAUGAAUCAAGCAGCAAGAAGUCAAUGUAAGAACAGGGAGACUUUAUUGCUGUGAUGGUAAUGCCUUUUUCUAUUUUGAGCAACUGAGUUAGCCGCUGAGAUGAUAAGAGCCGUAUCUUGGAGGGGUAUCGUGGGAAGGUUGCAUCCAUGGCGGUUUCUGAUUAAACCCACUGCCUGAUUGUUAUGUGCAUGAUGUGCAUGUAUAUUAUCUAUGUACAUACCAACACACACACAUGCAUACCUAUCAUGAGAAAAUGUCAAAAAUGGUCCCUUAUCGAUCCUCCCGAGCCAGUAAUUGAGCAUAGAGAGUACCUGACAUGUAUAUUGGCGGGGCAAUGACCCAGAUACGUGUGAUUGUUACACGCAAUUGGGGAAUCUGCAGCCAAGGCGUGGCCGGACUUUCUUUGCCUGAGAAUAAAUACAGAUCAGAGCCUCAAUUGUAACUUACACAGUCAGACAUCUCUAUAACAACAUUUCACUGUAUUAUAUGUUCUCUAUGUCAGCAGUACGCUAUAUCAGCCAAAAUAUAUCAGGACAAACAAUGCUGCUAUAGUGAGGUUUGAUUGUAUCUUUUGGUAUUUUUGGCAUGGAGGGAACUAUUUCAGUGAAGUAGUCAUUUCAACAAAUAAGACCUUCGACAUGAUUCCGUAAUUUGGGAGGUCCAAAAGGAUCAGGGCUCUAUAAAUAUGAAGCAGAAGGUGAAACGAAAAUGGAAAAAUCUCAUUAGUUUAAGUCUGAGGCUGAUUCAGAGAGUUGCGGGGAGUUGUUCGAGUGGUUGCCCCCCUGUCAUUCUUAGCAGCCAAUGAUCACUCAAAUUUUCCCAAUUUCAAACCACUCUCUAGCAAAAUAAGUUCAAUGAGGCAGUGAUGAUUUCAUUCUAUACUCAUCAGAUGGUUGAGCCUUGCUAUAUCUUGGUGUGGCAGCUUUUGGGGGGUUUUGUGAGAUAUUGGAGCUAUUUUGGUUUUUGCGUCUGACAAAGGCUCCUUAAGCUUGCAGCCAAGGCGGGGUGUAGCUUAUGUCUGAGAGAAGGCGAAUCUGAGCCUUCCUAAAAUAUCUUUUAUAGUUCAAAUGAGACUUUUUAUGGAACUCGAGGAAGGUUGAGAUUUUUAUGGAAUUUCAGACUUUGUUUAAGAUCUGAUUUGGUCAGAUGUAAUAAGAUCUAUUAAGAGGUUGUAUCUUAAAAAAAAAAAAAAAAAACACAUUUAA